This 440-nucleotide ribosomal RNA is filed under the name uncultured bacterium. RNAcentral describes it as "partial 16S ribosomal RNA". It matches the Rfam family "Bacterial small subunit ribosomal RNA", at positions 355 to 786 of the family's 1533-position model. The record is from RNAcentral.
UAGGGAAUCUUCGGCAAUGGGGGCAACCCUGACCGAGCAACGCCGCGUGAGUGAAGAAGGUUUUCGGAUCGUAAAGCUCUGUUGUAAGUCAAGAACGGGUGUGAGAGUGGAAAGUUCACACUGUGACGGUAGCUUACCAGAAAGGGACGGCUAACUACGUGCCAGCAGCCGCGGUAAUACGUAGGUCCCGAGCGUUGUCCGGAUUUAUUGGGCGUAAAGCGAGCGCAGGCGGUUUGAUAAGUCUGAAGUUAAAGGCUGUGGCUCAACCAUAGUUCGCUUUGGAAACUGUCAAACUUGAGUGCAGAAGGGGAGAGUGGAAUUCCAUGUGUAGCGGUGAAAUGCGUAGAUAUAUGGAGGAACACCGGUGGCGAAAGCGGCUCUCUGGUCUGUAACUGACGCUGAGGCUCGAAAGCGUGGGGAGCGAACAGGAUUAGGAUACC